AGAGUUUGAUCAUGGCUCAGAUUGAACGCUGGCGGCAGGCCUAACACAUGCAAGUCGAACGGUAACAGGAAGCAGCUUGCUGCUUUGCUGACGAGUGGCGGACGGGUGAGUAAUGUCUGGGAAACUGCCUGAUGGAGGGGGAUAACUACUGGAAACGGUGGCUAAUACCGCAUAACGUCGCAAGACCAAAGAGGGGGACCUUCGGGCCUCUUGCCAUCAGAUGUGCCCAGAUGGGAUUAGCUUGUUGGUGAGGUAACGGCUCACCAAGGCGACGAUCCCUAGCUGGUCUGAGAGGAUGACCAGCCACACUGGAACUGAGACACGGUCCAGACUCCUACGGGAGGCAGCAGUGGGGAAUAUUGCACAAUGGGCGCAAGCCUGAUGCAGCCAUGCCGCGUGUAUGAAGAAGGCCUUCGGGUUGUAAAGUACUUUCAGCGGGGAGGAAGGUGUUGUGGUUAAUAACCACAGCAAUUGACGUUACCCGCAGAAGAAGCACCGGCUAACUCCGUGCCAGCAGCCGCGGUAAUACGGAGGGUGCAAGCGUUAAUCGGAAUUACUGGGCGUAAAGCGCACGCAGGCGGUCUGUCAAGUCGGAUGUGAAAUCCCCGGGCUCAACCUGGGAACUGCAUUCGAAACUGGCAGGCUUGAGUCUUGUAGAGGGGGGUAGAAUUCCAGGUGUAGCGGUGAAAUGCGUAGAGAUCUGGAGGAAUACCGGUGGCGAAGGCGGCCCCCUGGACAAAGACUGACGCUCAGGUGCGAAAGCGUGGGGAGCAAACAGGAUUAGAUACCCUGGUAGUCCACGCCGUAAACGAUGUCUACUUGGAGGUUGUGCCCUUGAGGCGUGGCUUCCGGAGCUAACGCGUUAAGUAGACCGCCUGGGGAGUACGGCCGCAAGGUUAAAACUCAAAUGAAUUGACGGGGGCCCGCACAAGCGGUGGAGCAUGUGGUUUAAUUCGAUGCAACGCGAAGAACCUUACCUGGUCUUGACAUCCACAGAAGAAUCCAGAGAUGGAUUUGUGCCUUCGGGAACUGUGAGACAGGUGCUGCAUGGCUGUCGUCAGCUCGUGUUGUGAAAUGUUGGGUUAAGUCCCGCAACGAGCGCAACCCUUAUCCUUUGUUGCCAGCGGUUAGGCCGGGAACUCAAAGGAGACUGCCAGUGAUAAACUGGAGGAAGGUGGGGAUGACGUCAAGUCAUCAUGGCCCUUACGACCAGGGCUACACACGUGCUACAAUGGCGCAUACAAAGAGAAGCGACCUCGCGAGAGCAAGCGGACCUCAUAAAGUGCGUCGUAGUCCGGAUUGGAGUCUGCAACUCGACUCCAUGAAGUCGGAAUCGCUAGUAAUCGUGGAUCAGAAUGCCACGGUGAAUACGUUCCCGGGCCUUGUACACACCGCCCGUCACACCAUGGGAGUGGGUUGCAAAAGAAGUAGGUAGCUUAACCUUCGGGAGGGCGCUUACCACUUUGUGAUUCAUGACUGGGGUGAAGUCGUAACAAGGUAACCGUAGGGGAACCUGCGGUUGGAUCACCU
Molecule: ribosomal RNA, 1530 nt
Filed under: Salmonella enterica subsp. enterica serovar Dublin
Lineage: Bacteria; Pseudomonadati; Pseudomonadota; Gammaproteobacteria; Enterobacterales; Enterobacteriaceae
Also listed under: 1 other name
Description: bacterial SSU rRNA
Rfam family: Bacterial small subunit ribosomal RNA
Source: RNAcentral